RNAcentral lists this long non-coding RNA (731 nucleotides) under Phoenix dactylifera (date palm). Its description in RNAcentral is "long non-coding RNA (PDAC_LNC017756)". The record is from RNAcentral. Lineage: Eukaryota; Viridiplantae; Streptophyta; Magnoliopsida; Arecales; Arecaceae.
CAAAGCCCCAACAACUUCCUCCCAGCCGAAUCCAAACCUCCACGUCCGCAGCUUCAUCCUCCCAAGCUUCACGGGAACAGAACCAGGAUCUCCUUCCACGUCCGUUUCUCCAGCUUCAUCUUUCCAAGAUCCCAACUUCCCAUCCCCUGUUUCACGUACAUCCUUUUCCGUGAGUUCAUCCCAGUUCCCCUUCUUCUGUGAUCCAACUCCAGCCUCCGAGAUCCUCUCAAGCCAAUCCAGUAUCCAGUGUCUUCCCUCUUCUGAACCAACCUAGCCUCCCUCGGAAUCACCUCUUCAUCUCCCACGGAUCAUUCAUUUCGGGAUUUCCUCCCAGCCGCAACCAGCUAUCUCCCAGCUGUCCCAAAUCCCAUCUUUUCCGCGAUCGAGUUCAUCUUCCCUUCAUUUCGUUUAGCAUCCAUCUUCAUUCCAUCAACUGCAUUCAACCCAUAAUGCAACUCCAUCCUCCCGAGCCUCACGGACCAGCAAACAAGGCAUCUAAGCUUAUUCUCCCCUGUUCCGGAUCACUUAACAUCCGUUCCCAACCGUGAGCUUCAUCCAAACUCCCGGAUUAAUCUCAACCUCUCUCGCAGCCGGAUAUCUCAUGUCCAGCUGGGAUGAGCAUCACGAACGGAUCUUAGCCUUUCAGCCGAAGCAUUUCAGUUCAUCCAACGCUCUCCACAUCUUCCCCUGCUUCGGAACAAACUCCCAGUUCACCUUAUCUUCACCCACGG